CCUGGAAGCUGGGCAGAAGCCUUGGGGCAAAGUCACAAUCAGAGAUCGUUUUCUUCAGCUCUGCAAGAGAACCAAGAUUCUCAAAGAGAAUAAGGAUUCUCAAGGUGGAGAAGCAGAAGCAGAGGGGCCUGGGCUCCAAGUUGUCACAUUCUUUUCAGCAGGGCCACUGGGUUUCCGUGAAAGAGAUGGGCAACGGGCAGUAGAGAGCAGCACCAUGGCUCCAAGCUGAAGGGGACAGUCCUAGAGGAGAAUGCCUGCCAAGAACUCCUCCUCCGUGACAGCGUUUAUCCUCUCAGGCUUAACCGACCAGCCGGGACUCCAGAUCCCCGCCUUCUUCCUGUUUCUAGGUUUCUACGCGGUCACGGUGGUGGGGAACCUGGGCUUGAUAAUCCUGAUAGGGCUCAACUCUCGCCUGCAUAUCCCCAUGUACUUUUUCCCCUUCAACUUGUCCUUCAUAGAUUUUAGUUAUUCCACUACCCUCGCCCCUAAAAUGCUGAUGAGCUUUGUCUCAGAGAACAUCAUUUCCUAUGCAGGGUGUAUGACUCAGCUUUUUUUCUUCUGUUUCUUUGUCUUUUCUGAAUCCUAUAUUCUAUCAGCGAUGGCGUAUGACCGCUACGUGGGCAUCUGUAACCCACUGUUGUACACGGUCACCAUGUCUCCCCAGAUGUGUUUGCUCCUUUUACUGGGUGUCUAUGGGAUGGGGAUUUUGGGGCUGUGGCUCAUAUGGGAAACAUAAUGUUUAUGUCCUUUUGUGGAGACAACCUUGUCAAUCACUAUAUGUGUGACAUCCUUCCUCUCCUUGAGCUCUCCUGCAACAGCUCUUACAUAAAUUUGCUGGUGGUUUUUAUUAUUGUGACCGUUGGCAUUGGGGUGCCGAUUGUCACCAUUUUUCUCUCUUAUGGUUUUAUUCUUUCCAGCAUUCUCCACAUUAGUUCCACAGAGGGCAGGUCUAAAGCCUUCAGUACCUGCAGUUCCCACAUAAUUGUGGUAUCGCUUUUCUUUGGGUCAGGUGCUUUCAUGUACCUCAAACCACCUUCUAUUCUACCCCUGGACCAGGGGAAAGUGUCCUCCAUUUUUUGUACUGCUGUGGUGCCCAUGUUUAACCCAUUAAUCUACAGCCUGAGGAAUAAAGAUGUCAAAGUUGCCCUGAGGAGAACCUUUUGCAGAAAAUUAGUCUCUUAAAAAUGAAUGAGAAAGGGAAUCCAAACCUUUGUUAAUCAGGGGGUUUCUUUUCUUUUUUUCAGUGAGGGAACAAAUGCCACUGCUUUCUCUCCUAUACUUAGAGAAAAAUUUUAAAUGUAUUCUUAAGUGCACUUACACCCUGCACUGCUUAUCCACACCAACUAUUCCAAUUGUUAUUUUAUGAGAAUAGUUUCUACUGUUAUACAGGGUUUAAUCUUGAAUAGGCUUAUGAAAUCAUUUACUCCAGUCUCCUCAUGCAAUACAUCACACUCAAAAAUAUUUUGUAGGCUGCCAAAGGACACACAUGUACCUGAUGCCAGAGCUGAAACUAGAGUCCAGGCUCUUGAAUUUUAAUACAAUCUGCUGUGUUUUUCUUCAGCUACACUUCCUUGUUCCAUCGUUUCCCUGACUGAUUUCAUUUAAAAUUUUUUUUUUUGCAUUUAAAGAUAUCUAAUUAUAUUCAUAGUGAUGUCAUGCAACUUUUCAAAGGUUAAUUUUUGGAAUAACAUUUUUGCAAGAGUGUUGGAAGUGAAAAAUGUGGUUGAUGUGGUCUUGACAAAAAGAUAAGAGAAAAUUUUAAAGAAUUUUGGGGUGUGUGAGUGAGAAGUAGAUUAGGUUCCUUAUAGAAUCAAGGAUGGUGCCCAUGGAGAUGGUAUAGAGCCUUGAGUGAAGGCUUACAAUAGAAGGCCUUCUAAGGGAGAGAUAAACAGAGUUGAGGGAGUUAAAUUUGUUAGAUACAAGCUUUAUUCUUCAUCUGAAGAUUAACGGAGACAGAAUUUGGAGCCUCACCUCAAAGGUCUGAAUAAUGUAAAUUAGUAAUAGACAGCUCUGGAUAAGUGAGCCAUUAGAACCACGGCAGCCAACUAGUUGUUAGGGGAGGCAAUUGCCAUUAUAUAGUUAAGACAUUGCAUAUAUCUGUGACCUUCUAUUAAUAACAAUAGGGCAUAAAGGGAAGGGACGGUGGUCUUAGGAGAGGUCAUAUAUUCACAGCAUUGGGUAAGUGGAAGUACAACUUUGUAUAACGAAUGAGAGUAAUUUUUUUGAUCUGAAUACAUUAGUAAUGGUAACAAUUAUUUCAGAAGUCAUGGCAUAUGAACUGUCUGGAAGAUAGUUUAAUUUACAAACUUUGAAAAGUUAUCUUCUAUUAGAAAAAGGGGAAGUUCGGAUUAAUGUUUAGCUUUCUUCCUUUGGAAUCUUUUGGUUUAACGAGGAUAGAAUUCAGGAAAUGAAAGUGUAGGGGAGGGUUGUGUUUUGAUGCUAAGGGAGAUGAAUGAUGAUGAAAUUCAAGACACAUGGAUUGAGGGUGCACUGGGAAUGGUGGAGAAUCAGUACAAUGAAAACACCCUACUCCUUCUUAAAUUGAAAUAUAAAUUUUACAGUGAAGUGCACAAACAUUAACUGCUCGAUGAUUUUUUUUCACAUUUAUAAGGCUAUGAUUACUUACCUCCACCCAAAUGAAAAUAUAGCAGAUUUUUUAUCAUUUCAGGGUACUCCUGCCUGCCCUUUCCCAGUAAUUACUACUCCCCAUGCUCUUCCUGGAAAUAUUCACUAUUCUUACUUUAUCAUCACAGUUUCAUUUUUCUCGUGCUUGAACUUCAUAUAAAUGUUAAAUAGUGCAUUUACUUUCUUACGUUUCACUUAACAUAGAGAGUCAUGUGAGAUUCAUCCAUAACAGUUUUCUUGGUUAUUGCUGUUUAUUUUAGUAUUCCAUUGUAAGAAUGUAGAGCAAUUUGCUUAUCAAUAUCUUCUUUAUGGACAUUUGCCUUGUUUUCAAUUUCUACAUGUUAUUAAUAAAGCUGUUAUAAACAUUCCUUUUUUUUUUUUUUUGAGACAUAGUCUCGCACUGUUGCCCAGGCUGGAGUGCAAUGGCACGAUCUCGGCUCACUGCAACCUCCACUUCCCGGGUUCAAAUCAUUCUCCUGCCUCAGCCUCCAAAGUAGGUGGGAUUACAGGCACCCACCACCACACACAGCCAAUUUGUGUAUUUUUAGUAGAGACAGGGUUUCACCAUGUUGCCCAGGCUGGCCUCCAACUUCUGACCUCGUGAUCUGUCUGCUUCGGCCUCCCAAAGUGCUGGGAUUACAGGCAUAAGCCACCAUGCCUGGCCUAUAAACAUUCUUGAACAUGUAUUUUGCUGGAAAUAUACACUUAUUUUUGUUUGGGUAUAUACCUAGAUGUAGAUUUUAUGGGUCACAAGGUAGGCAUAUGUUUAGGCUUCUAAAUGCUAUCAAAUUGUCUUCCAAAAUAUUUAAACUGAUUUGCACUCCCAUCAAUAAAUUCCAGAAAAGGAUACUCUUCAUCCUUAUUUUCAGUAUUUUUCAUUUUAAUUACUCCGUUGGGUGUGUAGUACAGUAUUGCUUUAGUCUUUUAGAUAUUUCCCUGAUAAAUAAUGAUUUUUUUUUUUUUGACGGAGUCUUGCUCUGUCGCCUAGGCUGGAGUGCAGUGGCAUGAUCUCGGCUCACAGCAACCUUCACCUUCCAGGUUCAAGCAAUUCUCCUGCCUUAGCCUCCCGAGUAGCUGGGGUAACAGGAGCCUGCCACCACACCUGGCUAAUUUUUGUAGUUUUACUAGAGACGGGGUUUCACUAUGUUGGCCAGGCUGGCCUCGAACUCCUGACCUUUUCUUAACAGACAAAGUCUUGCUCUGUUGUCAGGCUGGAGUGCGAUGGUGUGAUCAUGGCUCACUGGAGCUUUGAACUCCUGGGCUCAAGCUAUCUUCCUGUCUCAGCCUGCUGAGCAACUGGAACUAUAGGUACAUGCCACCACACCUGGCCACUUUUUCUAUUUUUUGUAGAGAUGAGGUCUCACUAUGUUACCCAGGCUGUUACCAAAUACCUGGGCUCAAGUGAUCCUCUCAUCUUGGCCUCCCAAAGUGUUGGGAUUACAGGUGUGAGCCACCACACCCAGCCUUGUUGGGCACUUUUUAUAUGUUCAUUAGCUAUUUGGACAUCACCAUUUGUGAAGUGCCUGUUCAAGUCAUUUGGCUACUUAAAAAUAGUGUUGUUGCUGGGCACGGUGGCUCACACCUGUAAUCCCAGCACUUUGGGAGGCCAAGAUAGGCGGAUCAAGAGGUCAGGAGAUCGAGACCAUCCUGGCUAAUAUGAUGAAACCCCGUCUCUACUAAAAAUACAAAAAAAUUAGCCUGGUGUGGUGGUGGGCACCUGUAGUCCCAGCUACUUGGGAGGCUGAGGCAGGAGAAUGGCAUGAACCCAGAAGGCGGAGGUUGCAGUGAGCCGAGAUCGCGCCACUGCACUCCAGCCUGGGCGACAGAGUGAGACUCCAUCUCAAAAAAAAAAAAAAAAAGUGUUGUUAUUCUUUUUUCUUAUUGAUUAGUUUUUUAAAACGUAUAAUCUGGAUAUGAGUACUUUUUCAGACACACACAUUGCAGUUAUCUUUACUCAGUCUCUGGCUUGCCCCAUGACUACUCAUUAAUUAUGUCCUUUGAUAAUGAUAUUUCAAUUUCAAUUUGAAUAAAGUUCAUUUGUCCACUUCUUUUACUGUUCAUGCUUUCUUCUGUUUAAUUUUUUUCCUACUACAUAGUCACAAAGUCAUUCUCAGGUUUUCCUUUGAAAGCUUCAUGAUUUUUCCUUUAAAAUUUAGAUUUUAGAUCAAUUUUAAAUCAGUUAUCAUGUAUGGUGUGCAGUUGUUUUAUUUCUUUCAUAAAGAUAUUAAGUUGCAUCAGCAUCAUUUAUUGAAAAGACCUUCUCUCCUCCCUGAAUUGUAUUGGCUAUAUUUGUACGUGUGUAUUUGAAGAUCAAGUGACAAUAAUUUAGUGGGACUAAUUUGAGAGAAGUUGACAUGGAGCCAAAGUGCUGUAUUCUCCCAUUACAAUGGUGAAUAGUAAUGAGGAAAACAGACAUGCUUUUCUUGUUUCGAAGUGGAAUUUCAUACCUUUCAUACCUUUUACUUUAUUUUAAAUAACUUUUUAAAAUUUAAUUUUCAAUUAUUAGUAGUAUGUAGUAGCACAGUUGUUUUUUGUAUACUGAAUUUGUAUCUAGCAUCUUUGUUAUUUCACUUAUGAAAUCUAAUUGUUAG
Long non-coding RNA from Homo sapiens (human), 5216 nucleotides. Lineage: Eukaryota; Metazoa; Chordata; Mammalia; Primates; Hominidae. The record is from Ensembl.